AUUGAACGCUGGCGGCAGGCCUAACACAUGCAAGUCGAACGAGCGGCGGACGGGUGAGUAAUGUCUGGGAAACUGCCUGAUGGAGGGGGAUAACUACUGGAAACGGUAGCUAAUACCGCAUACCAUCAGAUGUGCCCAGAUGGGAUUAGCUAGUAGGUGGGGUAACGGCUCACCUAGGCGACGAUCCCUAGCUGGUCUGAGAGGAUGACCAGCCACACGGGAACGGAGAAACGGUCAAGACGCCGACGGGAGGCGGGAGGGGGGAAUAGGGCACAAUGGGCGAAAGCCUGAUGCAGGCAUGCCGCGUGUGGGAAGAAGGCCUUCGGGUUGUAAAGCACUGUCAGCGGGGAGGCGUUACCCGCAGAAGAAGCACCGGCUAACUCCGUGCCAGCAGCCGCGGUAAUUC
RNAcentral lists this ribosomal RNA (406 nucleotides) under uncultured bacterium. Its description in RNAcentral is "partial 16S ribosomal RNA". It matches the Rfam family "Bacterial small subunit ribosomal RNA", at positions 29 to 526 of the family's 1533-position model. The record is from RNAcentral.